GUCCAGGGUAGCCUAGUGGACAUGGCAUCUGCCCGGUAAGCGGAACACUGUGGGUUCGAUUCCCAUUCCUGCACA
Molecule: transfer RNA, 75 nt
Filed under: Cordylochernes scorpioides
Lineage: Eukaryota; Metazoa; Arthropoda; Arachnida; Pseudoscorpiones; Chernetidae
Description: tRNA-Thr
Rfam family: tRNA
About the family: Transfer RNA (tRNA) molecules are approximately 80 nucleotides in length. Their secondary structure includes four short double-helical elements and three loops (D, anti-codon, and T loops). Further hydrogen bonds mediate the characteristic L-shaped molecular structure. tRNAs have two regions of fundamental functional importance: the anti-codon, which is responsible for specific mRNA codon recognition, and the 3' end, to which the tRNAs corresponding amino acid is attached (by aminoacyl-tRNA synthetases). tRNAs cope with the degeneracy of the genetic code in two manners: having more than one tRNA (with a specific anti-codon) for a particular amino acid; and 'wobble' base-pairing, i.e. permitting non-standard base-pairing at the 3rd anti-codon position.
Source: RNAcentral